GACGUAGGGCGCGAGCGUUGUCCGGAUUUAUUGGGCGUAAAGAGCUCGUAGGCGGCUUGUCGCGUCGUCCGUGAAAACCCACAGCUCAACUGUGGGCUUGCGGUCGAUACGGGCAGGCUAGAGUUCGGUAGGGGAGACUGGAAUUCCUGGUGUAGCGGUGAAAUGCGCAGAUAUCAGGAGGAACACCGGUGGCGAAGGCAGCUCGCUGGGACGGUACUGACGCUGAGGCGCGAAAGCGUGGGGAGCAAACAGG
Molecule: ribosomal RNA, 253 nt
Filed under: uncultured bacterium
Lineage: Bacteria
Description: partial 16S ribosomal RNA
Rfam family: Bacterial small subunit ribosomal RNA
Source: RNAcentral